RNAcentral lists this ribosomal RNA (454 nucleotides) under uncultured bacterium. RNAcentral describes it as "bacterial SSU rRNA". It matches the Rfam family "Bacterial small subunit ribosomal RNA", at positions 8 to 457 of the family's 1533-position model. The record is from RNAcentral.
AGAGUUUGAUCAUGGCUCAGAGUGAACGCUGGCGGUGUGCUUAACACAUGCAAGUCGAACGAGAACGGUACUAGCUUGCUAGUAUGUCAGCUAAGUGGCGGACGGGUGAGUAAUGUAUAGUUAAUCUGCCCUUCAGAGAGGGAUAACUACUGGAAACGGUAGCUAAUACCUCAUAUACCUUCUAGUGUAAUGCUAGAUGGGAAAUGUCUUUUCGCUGAAGGAUGAGACUAUAUGGUAUCAGGUAGUUGGUGGGGUAAGAGCCUACCAAGCCUAUGACGCCUAGCUGGUCUGAGAGGAUGAUCAGCCACACUGGAACUGAGACACGGUCCAGACUCCUACGGGAGGCAGCAGUGGGGAAUAUUGCACAAUGGAGGAAACUCUGAUGCAGCAACACCGCGUGGAGGAUGACACAUUUCGGUGCGUAAACUCCUUUUAUAUGGGAAGAUAAUGACGG